GAGUUUUUGUAGAUUUUCAAAUAAAACUUAGAGAUUCCUUGUAUGACUCUCUCAAAUCUCUCUUUUGUGGUAUUUCUGGAUCCUUACCAAGGCAGUGAUGAUAUACGCCUUCUCUCAAAGUAUGUAGUAUUUGUGGUAUGAGGCAUAGUGAUAUUGCCUUCUCUUUUACCCUACUCUAAUAAGGUUUGAUAUCUGGAGCUCAUAGGUGGGAGACAGCUAAUACAUACUUACAAGACAUUUAUUGCAUAGUCAAACCAUGGAUCCAGAGAAACAAGUCAAUAAGUCAAAUCAAGGUGUGCAUGUGUGGCGAAUGAAUGGUGUAUGGUGAUGAUGGUGAUAACGGUGAAAACAUCGGUGAAAGUCUAAUACUAAUUUUGCUCUUUUGAUUGGAUACAUACCUUUCUUGCACUUUGAAACUUUUUGAAGGGAAUGAGAUGCUCUAUAUUUUCUUUUUCUUCUUUUCUCUCAGGUGGGUAUCUUGUACCCCUAAUUCUACUGUCGGACACUUGUCCAUUUUUACGUCUCGUCUCACUUUUUCUUUUCUUCGAGGUUUCGGGCACUUGCCCCUUUUCAUUUCCUCGUAUUCACUCUUUUUUUCAGAGCACUCACCCUCCUAGAAUAAUGUAGCAAGUGGUAGUAACCAAAAUAUCAAGAGCAUUUAUUUCACGGGGAAUAAUAGGGAUAGGAUAAUGUUUUUGGCUAUUCUCUCCUGGAUAGGAGUAGAAUAAUUUUGGGUGAAUCUAGAGAUGGAAAUGAGUGGAUGUAUGUGGAUGCGUACUUCUAGAGUAGAAGCAGCAUGUAUGAGUGAACGUGCAAGUGGAUCUUGAUUUUAACCGCAUGACAAGCUCCUAAGGGUCUACACAGCUUGACCACACUCAAUGCUCAUAAGCAGUAAAAAGUAAAUGUAUGGUUCAUAGUCUAAUAAGCAUGUAUACAUGGCUGUGGUAGGAUUUUAAACUCUCAUCAUACAGGAACUCAUCAUGCAACAUUUUAAAGGUUUUCAAAGAUAAAAUUCUCCAGAAUUCUAUCAUCUCUAGGAAUAGAUAAACAGCAACUCAACCUUCCCAUAUCAUAUCCAUUAACGACUUAGACUUUAGAUCAAGUACUCUUCCCAUAAGUUCACGUUUAGAGCAAAUCUUAAUUCAUAACAGUCAUGCCUAAACUUGAGAGAGAUUUCAAUUUUAAGAACUAGUCAUGGCAGAGCAACUAUUCAUCAUUUCUAUGUGAGAGCUUAUCAUGAGGGUUCAUAGCAAACUUUAUUUAUUUAUUUAUUUAUUUAUUUAUUUAUUUAGCAAACUAAGCAAAGAUAUAUAUAAAAGCACAAAAUCUUUAUUUGGGUUUUUAUGAUUACAUCUUUUUAUUGUUUGAGUAAAAUAUAAACGCGAGUAGAAACACUUAGCUGGAUAAAUGGGGGUGCUCUCCCCCAAGCUGGAUUUUGACGUAAUUUCUUCUGAUGUAGCUAGCAGGUGGCGGAGGUGUAUUUGAAUGUCGGCAGCACCCUGACAACAAUUAGGAUGUCCUCCGUCUGCUAGUCUUCUUUGAUCCUUGAAUUCUAUGGAGCUCAAAUAGACAACAAAGCUUUGUGGAACUGGUUAAGUGUUAGCAUAAAUAUCUAGCCUUUAUCAUGUUGAGCCUCCUCUAAUAAAUAUUACUCUCUUUGGUAGGAUCAUAAAUUUAUUUUUAUAUUUUCAUUUCUAUAGGACAGGAAUAUAUUUUAUUUUAUUUUUACACCACCACAGUGAAUGUAAUUAUGGGUUUUAUGCCACGAGCAUACUCACAUGGGGCUUACUAUUUUUAACAUUUUUUUUUCUUUUCAAGAUAGCAUGAUUAACUUACAAAUCAUUUAAGGAAAGUAAAUAAUUAACGGAAAAAGGGAAUGCAGAAAGGAUAAAUAUGGAUAACUACCGAUUUUACCUUUCGGCAAGGGUUCAGUGUUUUAAGUCUUCUAAACAAGACUUCUCAUCGUGUUCAUUCUUUAGGUGCGUCAUUUGAUUCAGGUGUGGACUUGACGUCUGCACCUCUUGAUACGGUGUCACCCAUGUUCUUCGUUUGCCUAGCAGUUCAAAGUGCGGCGUUGGCAGUAUCUUGCUCAGUGUGUUUGUUCUCGUAGAUCCAGGUCCUUCACUUGGUGGAAUCUAGGAGUUGUAAAACUCCACCAUGUUUUGCUCCAAGUGUACCUGCUCAUAGAGACAAGGCAGAGAUCAAGUGCAUGGGCCCUGUUGGUGGAAAACACCAACAGAACCAAAAGUAUAUUUAUUCUUCUCUAUCCUUAAUCAUAGGGAGCAAGACAAAGUUGAUGGGUGAUAAGUUCACGAGUGUAGCAUUUAUAACAUUUGUCAAAUCAGAUCGCUCAACCUUAUGGAAAGAUAAUCUAUCUAUGUAUAUGCCUUUUUCUUUAUAUCUUCCCAAAGAUUGAAUGUGCAACAUUUUAGCUCAUAUGAUUAGGAGUGUGGGAUCACAAAGGUGGAAGGACUAAACAUGUUGAAUCGAUUGGGUUGGUUAACCUAGAGUUGUAAAUCAUAUAUGUUUGUCUCUUUAUUUAAGUGAACGCCAGAAUCAAGGAGAAGCUUAUAAAAGUGAUAGUCACAUAUAUUAAGAUGUUACCUUAAUUGAAGAGUGAUGGUACAGUAUCACCUUGUGGAAGCUUUCCUUUCUUAGCGGUUGUGCAUCGUGUUUAUGUACUUUGUCUCCUUCCAUGGAUCAUCUCUCUAUGAUGAAUGAGCUAUGUCCUUCUUGUGCAAAUUGUUAAACUUCAUGUGUCUCUCUCUUCAUCUCCGAUGUGAGUUUAUCUCAGGACUUCCCAGGUCGAUAUUGAAAGUUUUCCUGUAGGGGUUAGUCCGACAAAAUAUACCAAUGUCUACACAAGCAGUUUUAGUUCAAUAACCGAACUAGACUCCAUGUAUAAUCAGAUUAAGGAAGGUUGUUUAACCUAAGCACCAUGCUUAAUUUAAAAGCCAAUAGAAUUAUGUGCAGUACUUCCAAACUAACACUUACUAGGAUAAACAAAGGUAGCGUG
This 3016-nucleotide long non-coding RNA is filed under the name Sorghum bicolor (sorghum). RNAcentral describes it as "long non-coding RNA (SBIC_LNC014077)". The record is from RNAcentral. Lineage: Eukaryota; Viridiplantae; Streptophyta; Magnoliopsida; Poales; Poaceae.